Molecule: long non-coding RNA, 526 nt
Filed under: Homo sapiens (human)
Lineage: Eukaryota; Metazoa; Chordata; Mammalia; Primates; Hominidae
Description: non-protein coding lnc-HYOU1-1:2
Source: RNAcentral
CUGAGCCAGCGAAUCACGUGGUCGGCAGCUUCCGGGAGCCCGCGGGCCCAGGAGCUCCUGAGUCGGGGUGACAGCGUCCCGCUGCUGGGAAAGUGGGCGGGGCCGCGCGGGGUAGUCCUAGAUCUGCAGUGUGCGAGUUUGCCGGAUGUGACUGUAACUUCGCUAGCUAAAAUGCUUGAGAGCGGACCCUUCAUCCCUUUGAGCAUGUUUCUUCCUAAAAUGCGCGGAUACCGGGAGAUCAAGAUGAGGGAUGUCAUGUGCCUUGUGAACUGUCACCCGCCGUGCGUAAGUGAAUGACGUUUUGACCUCACAGGACUGUUUUGGGGCAUAAAUGAAACAGUGUAUGUUAAACCAGGUUUUCGGCUGUAUGAGAGGAGAAAUAAAAUUAGAAGUUUGUGUCUGCCACCACGCAGAUUGUGAACCAUAGUCAAUGUUUUAUAUUCGUUUUUGUUUCCCCCGUCAGAGCGUAUGACACCUAACAGACGCUCAAAACGUUUCUUAAGGAAACGGGCUGGGCGCGAUGGCU